GCUGCCUGCUGCCCGCCGCCCCGCGACCGGGGCAGCCGCCGGCGCCGCGCCCCCUCCUCCCUGCCUCCCCGGCGGGGCGGGCGACGGGGGCAACGGGAGUGUGACGGACUGCGGCGCUCGGCGGGCCUGGGCGCAAGGACUGGGUCGCCGCCGUGCGGGGCGCCCGGGGCGGGUGGGUGUGGGCUGCGGGGCCGACGGCCGCGGGGGGGGCGCGGGGCUUUCCACGGCACGGGGCGGGUGGGGCUGCGGGCGCGGUCGGGGCUGGCGCGGCAGGCGAGAGGAAUUCCAGCGGGACGCGCCAGCGCUGCCUCCGCCUCGCCUCCCGUUACUAUAGUUUUUUCAGAACCUCUUAUCCACCCCGCAGAAGAGAAAUUUUUUUUUAACGUCCUGUUGCUUCACGGGGGACUUUCGGGGUGGGCAUCACGUGGCCCGACACGUAGCCGUGGGGCUCCAGAGCGCGUGCG
Molecule: long non-coding RNA, 464 nt
Filed under: Homo sapiens (human)
Lineage: Eukaryota; Metazoa; Chordata; Mammalia; Primates; Hominidae
Description: non-protein coding CAHM:4
Source: RNAcentral